Molecule: long non-coding RNA, 713 nt
Organism: Cucumis melo (muskmelon)
Lineage: Eukaryota; Viridiplantae; Streptophyta; Magnoliopsida; Cucurbitales; Cucurbitaceae
Exons: 3
Source: RefSeq, a predicted model, not a curated record
AAUAACGUGGGCAGAAGUUUUAAAAAAACCUAAUUUUAAUUUCUCUUUUCCCUCAAUUUCCCCACAUUUUCUCCUUCUCCUUACAAACUCUUCUCCUCCCUCUUCUCUUUUUGAUAAACAAUACCCCUGCACACGGCGUUCUCUCGAUUAUUUGUAACCCCACCUAUAGGUGUCGUUUGACGUCCUUCUACUACCGUCGGACGUCGGACAAAGAGAUUGUUGAACAUGUCGAAUGCCGCUGCCAUAACCUACUUGUUGAAUACUCUGAACGAUUUUAUUUUCUGAAGAUAUAAAACAUAACAAACCCAGUUGUGCACUAUGGACAAUUUUGUUUCCUUCUUGCAAUCACUCUAAAAAGACCCAUCGCUAUUUUUAUUGUAGUUAUGGUUAAAUUGGCAGUAAUUGUUUUUCAAAGUGGUCAAUGGGAUGAGCAACAUUACUACGUGGAUUACAAAACAAAUUGUGUUUUGGUUGAUGGAGUGAUAUCAUCAUUUGAUUCUUUUGUGAACUUGAUUCAUACUAAAAUUCAGGUUGAGUCAUGUAUUGAAUUUUCAGUUUUAAUUUGUUGACUAUAGGCGAUAAUGAUGUUCAACAUGUUAUUAAGAUUGUAAACAUACCAUAACAACUGUAUCGACAAUACAUAAAGUGUAUCAUGCUUAGUGCAUCAGGUGUAUUUAAUUAAUUGAGUGUAUCAACAGUGUGUAUCAACAACA